UGAAAAAGAACUCUAAAACAGAGGGUGAAAAGUUCCUGAACUUGCUUAGGGUUAAGGCUAUUUAUAGUACCCGUCUUGAAACACGGAUUAGAGAGUUUAUCUGUAGUGCGAGUCUUUGCACGUUAACUGUAAAGGCGUAGAGAAAGCAACUGGCGUUUGCAUGGCUACUGAGCAUUACUGAUAGGACCCGAAAGGUGGUGAACUUUGCCUGCACAGGUUGAAGUCAGGGGAAACUCUGAUGGAGGACCGUACGGGUUAUUGAUGUGCAAAUCAUUUUUCUGAUGUAGGUAAAGGUGCGAAAGACUCAUCGAACCACCUAAUAGCUGGUUUCCUCCGAAGUUUCCCUCAGGAUAGCUGUAAUGCAUUUAGUUAAGGGGAGUAGAGAUAUGGGUAGAGGUGCAGGGAGCCUUCGGGUUCUCAACUUAUUUCCAAACUUCGAACCUCCUUGUUAGGCAUUUACCUAACUGGAAAUGCUUAAAUGAAUUAGCGUUACAAGUGGGCUCUGACCGGUAAGCGGUCAUGGCGAAAUGGGAUGAACCAUACGUCUGAAUAAGGUGCCGAAAUGUACUAUCACUGAUACCAUAAAGGGAGUCCAUGUAUUUAGACAGCAGGUCGGUGCCCCUAAAAGCAGGUAUCCGCUAAAGAGUGUGUUAAAACUCACCUGCCGAAUACUAGGGCCCCGAAAAUGAAUGGCGCAUAUAGUACUACCGAUCUCAGACAUCAGUUCUAUUGAACUGAGAGUAGGGGGAUGUGGACAUUUUUGUGAAGGUGCAAUGUGAGUUGGACUGGAAGAAUGUCUAUUACAGAUCCUAAUUGAAGUAGCGAUUAUCCAGGCUUGUAUCCUGGGGGCUGAUGAGGAGUAGGGUUUCUGGACAACUUAAACAGAUCCAGAGUUAGUCGAUCCUAAUCUCAAUAAUGGGAGAAAGGGAGUACAGUUGAUAUUCUGUAACUGACAACAGUUCGCGGCAACGCAUACUAUUUUUCUCCGCCAAUCUUAUACCGUUGGUAGGGAUCUCUUUCCUACAUGACAGUACUAAUACCCAGGGAAACUGGUCAUCAGGCGAACUGCGGCGUUCU
This is a non-coding RNA of Trichomonas vaginalis G3, 1077 nucleotides long. The record is from Rfam. NCBI's taxonomy places the organism in Eukaryota, Parabasalia, Trichomonadida, Trichomonadidae.